AUGAACAGAAAUUUGGUUACUCCACCAUUAAUGGUGGGUAGCUGUCCUAAUUUUCUUGUGGUGUGGUAUGCUAUUGACACUUUGAUUCUUAUGAAAGCAGGCCCAGUUCAUUCGUACAACCUUAAGGCUCUACUCGGUACUUUUGCAACUGCCACAGGGCUAAAGGUUAAUUAUCACAAGUCUAAUUUGAUACAAAUUAACUUAACUGAAGAAAGGGCUGAAAUCAUGACUCAUACCUUGGGGUGCAAAAGGGGCUCUUUCCCACUCACAUAUCUAGGACUUCCACUUGGAUUGGCUAAAUCCUCUGUGGAGCAAUGCCUUCCUCCAGUGCAAAGAAUUGCUAAGAAGUUGAUGGGUUGA
RNAcentral lists this ribosomal RNA (360 nucleotides) under Triticum aestivum (bread wheat). Its description in RNAcentral is "partial small subunit ribosomal RNA". The record is from RNAcentral. Lineage: Eukaryota; Viridiplantae; Streptophyta; Magnoliopsida; Poales; Poaceae.